RNAcentral lists this non-coding RNA (23 nucleotides) under Mus musculus (house mouse). Lineage: Eukaryota; Metazoa; Chordata; Mammalia; Rodentia; Muridae. The record is from RNAcentral.
UACUAGAAACCUGCCCAGUUACC